RNAcentral lists this ribosomal RNA (348 nucleotides) under uncultured bacterium. Its description in RNAcentral is "partial 16S ribosomal RNA". It matches the Rfam family "Bacterial small subunit ribosomal RNA", at positions 338 to 703 of the family's 1533-position model. The record is from RNAcentral.
CCUACGGGGGGCAGCAGUAGGGGAUAUUGCACAAUGGGGGAAACCCUGAAGCAGCAACGCCGCGUGGGGGAAGAAGGUCGUAGGAGUGUAAAGUCCUGUUGGGAGAGAAGAAAAUGACGGUAGCUGAAGAAUAAGCACCGGCUAACUCCGUGCCAGCAGCCGCGGUAAUACGGAGGGGGCAAGCGUUAGACGGAAUCACUGGGCGUACAGCGUGCGCAGGCGGGCUUGGAAGCCAGGUGUGAAAGCCCGUCGCUCAACCCCAUAACUGCAUUUGAAACUCUGUGUCUAGAGUGUUGGAGGGGUAGGUGGAAUUCUUGGUGUAGCGGUCUAAUCCGUCGCUAUCAGGAG